AGCGAACGCUGGCGGCAGGCCUAACACAUGCAAGUCGAACGAACCCUUCGGAGUUAGUGGCGGACGGGUGAGUAACACGUGGGAACGUGCCUUUAGGUUCGGAAUAACUCAGGGAAACUUGUGCUAAUACCGAAUGUGCCCUUCGGGGGAAAGAUUUAUCGCCUUUAGAGCGGCCCGCGUCUGAUUAGCUAGUUGGUGAGGUAAAGGCUCACCAAGGCGACGAUCAGUAGCUGGUCUGAGAGGAUGAUCAGCCACAUUGGGACUGAGACACGGCCCAAACUCCUACGGGAGGCAGCAGUGGGGAAUCUUGCGCAAUGGGCGAAAGCCUGACGCAGCCAUGCCGCGUGAAUGAUGAAGGUCUUAGGAUUGUAAAAUUCUUUCACCGGGGACGAUAAUGACGGUACCCGGAGAAGAAGCCCCGGCUAACUUCGUG
RNAcentral lists this ribosomal RNA (433 nucleotides) under uncultured bacterium. RNAcentral describes it as "partial 16S ribosomal RNA". It matches the Rfam family "Bacterial small subunit ribosomal RNA", at positions 29 to 507 of the family's 1533-position model. The record is from RNAcentral.